GACGAACGCUGGCGGCGUGCCUAGUACAUGCAAGUUGAGCGCUGAAGGUUGGUACUUGUACCCACUGGAUGAGCAGCGAACGGGUGAGUAACGCGUGGGGAAUCUGCCUUUGAGCGGGGGACAACAUUUGGAAACGAAUGCUAAUACCGCAUAAAAACUUUAAACACAAGUUUUAAGUUUGAAAGAUGCAAUUGCAUCACUCAAAGAUGAUCCCGCGUUGUAUUAGCUAGUUGGUGAGGUAAAGGCUCACCAAGGCGAUGAUACAUAGCCGACCUGAGAGGGUGAUCGGCCACAUUGGGACUGAGACACGGCCCAAACUCCUACGGGAGGCAGCAGUAGGGAAUCUUCGGCAAUGGACGAAAGUCUGACCGAGCAACGCCGCGUGAGUGAAGAAGGUUGUCGGAUCGUAAAACUCUGUUGGUAGAGAAGAACGUUGGUGAGAGUGGAAAGCUCAUCAAGUGACGGUAACUACCCAGAAAGGGACGGCUAACUACGUG
RNAcentral lists this ribosomal RNA (497 nucleotides) under uncultured bacterium. RNAcentral describes it as "partial 16S ribosomal RNA". It matches the Rfam family "Bacterial small subunit ribosomal RNA", at positions 28 to 507 of the family's 1533-position model. The record is from RNAcentral.